This 490-nucleotide ribosomal RNA is filed under the name uncultured bacterium. RNAcentral describes it as "partial 16S ribosomal RNA". It matches the Rfam family "Bacterial small subunit ribosomal RNA", at positions 28 to 507 of the family's 1533-position model. The record is from RNAcentral.
GAUGAACGCUAGCGAUAGGCUUAACACAUGCAAGUCGAGGGGCAGCAUGGUCUUAGCUUGCUAAGACUGAUGGCGACCGGCGCACGGGUGCGUAACGCGUAUGCAACUUGCCUCACAGAGGGGGAUAACCCGUCGAAGGACGGACUAAUACCGCGUACACUCCAUCUUGGGCAUCCAAGGUAGAGGAAAUGAAAUUCGCUGUGAGAUAGGCAUGCGUCCCAUUAGCUAGUUGGUGCGGUAACGGCUCACCAAGGCGACGAUGGGUAGGGGAACUGAGAGGUUGAACCCCCACACUGGUACUGAGACACGGACCAGACUACUACGGGAGGCAGCAGUGAGGAAUAUUGGUCAAUGGGCGAGAGCCUGAACCAGCCAAGUCGCGUGAAGGAUGACUGUCUUAUGGAUUGUAAACUUCUUUUAUACGGGAAUAACAAGAGUCACGUGUGACUCCCUGCAUGUACCGUAUGAAUAAGCAUCGGCUAACUCCGUG